UGGGGAAUAUUGGACAAUGGGGGGAACCCUGAUCCAGCCAUGCCGCGUGUGUGAAGAAGGCCUUAUGGUUGUAAAGCACUUUAAGCGAGGAGGAGGGUACUGGUAUUAAUACUACCAGGUACUGGACGUUACUCGCAGAAUAAGCACCGGCUAACUCUGUGCCAGCAGCCGCGGUAAUACAGAGGGUGCGAGCGUUAAUCGGAUUUACUGGGCGUAAAGCGUGCGUAGGCGGCUAAUUGAGUCGGAUGUGAAAUCCCCGAGCUUAACUUGGGAAUUGCAUUCGAUACUGGUUAGCUAGAGUGUGGGAGAGGAUGGUAGAAUUCCAGGUGUAGCGGUGAAAUGCGUAGAGAUCUGGAGGAAUAACGAUGGCGAAGGCAGCCAUCUGGCCUAACACUGACGCUGAGGUACGAAAGCAUGGGGAGCAAACAGG
Molecule: ribosomal RNA, 430 nt
Filed under: Pseudomonadota bacterium
Lineage: Bacteria; Pseudomonadati; Pseudomonadota
Description: Proteobacteria bacterium partial 16S ribosomal RNA
Rfam family: Bacterial small subunit ribosomal RNA
Source: RNAcentral